Molecule: long non-coding RNA, 306 nt
Organism: Saccostrea echinata
Lineage: Eukaryota; Metazoa; Mollusca; Bivalvia; Ostreida; Ostreidae
Exons: 2
Source: RefSeq, a predicted model, not a curated record
CUAUUCAUCCCCAUUAUGGUCUCUGGAGGAAUGGUUGCAGUACAGUCUUUAUGUCCUGGACAGAGCAUCACGUAAAGGACCAGUUUUACUAAGUUCUGAGAGGUAUGUGACAUUAUCAUGACCAGGAUUUUGGACAGGAACUUAUGAUGAAGUUUUGAUAAAUGUGACAUUUCGACUCCAUUGGAUACGGAGAUAUUUCAUCAUGGAUAGUGAUUGUGUACUUCCUUUCAUCGAUAAAAAUGAUGGAUAUUUGUGAAUAACAAAGUCAACAUAUUUCUGAAAAACAGUGAUGUCAAUAAUUUAAAU